RNAcentral lists this small nuclear RNA (23 nucleotides) under Arabidopsis thaliana (thale cress). RNAcentral describes it as "snRNA_16472". The record is from RNAcentral. Lineage: Eukaryota; Viridiplantae; Streptophyta; Magnoliopsida; Brassicales; Brassicaceae.
AGUUAGCAGAUAACGUAUUAUCA